RNAcentral lists this ribosomal RNA (468 nucleotides) under uncultured bacterium. RNAcentral's name for it is "partial 16S ribosomal RNA". It matches the Rfam family "Bacterial small subunit ribosomal RNA", at positions 28 to 507 of the family's 1533-position model. The record is from RNAcentral.
GACGAACGCUGGCGGCGUGCUUAACACAUGCAAGUCGAACGGAAAGGCCCUGCUUUUGUGGGGUGCUCGAGUGGCGAACGGGUGAGUAACACGUGAGUAACCUGCCCUUGACUUUGGGAUAACUUCAGGAAACUGGGGCUAAUACCGGAUAGGAGCUCCUGCUGCAUGGUGGGGGUUGGAAAGUUUCGGCGGUUGGGGAUGGACUCGCGGCUUAUCAGCUUGUUGGUGGGGUAGUGGCUUACCAGGGCUUUGACGGGUAGCCGGCCUGAGAGGGUGACCGGCCACAUUGGGCCUGCGAUACGGCCCAGACUCCUACGGGAGGCAGCAGUGGGGAAUAUUGCACAAUGGGCGGAAGCCUGAUGCAGCAACGCCGCGUGCGGGAUGACGGCCUUCGGGUUGUAAACCGCUUUCGCCUGUGACGAAGCGUGAGUGACGGUAAUGGGUAAAGAAGCACCGGCUAACUACGUG